GAAAAACUAUUGAAGUAUCCAUGCCAAUUAUGUCACUGCAAAGCAGAGCUAUUGAGUCCCUCGUAUACCAUUUUUUAACAUUUUAAAGAGAAGUGAAUAAACUCUAAAAAGAGCAAACAAGCUCAACAUGGAAAUGGAUACGAAUGAUGUCAAUGCAAGCUUAAGCACAAUCUUGAUGGAUUGAAUAAACUGCACACAUAGUAUAAGUGAUACAAACCAAACCAAUUGAUUCAAUUUCGAAGUACUAGAAGAAAUUAGUUUAUUUUAACCACAGGGUAAAUCUGUGAAAUUAUCCCAAAAAAGGAAAUAAUUUCAUAAGAUUACUAUGUGGUUUAGCACUUUAUCACUUAAGCGACAAAAAUUUUACCUGAACUUUUGCAAUUGACAUUGUUUUCCUAUACUCAUUAACAGAGUACUAACGUGGCAAUUUCCCUUCCCGUGCUCCUGCUUCUGACCUAUUGCUAGGUCAACACGUAACAAAUUCAAAGAAAAUGCGAGUAUGUAACAGGACAAAAGCUCAAGGCACCAUUUUGAUGAGAAUCAAACUUUUGUUCCUUAAAGUGAUAAAGUGAUAUAACGUGUGAAAUUCGCACUUCAUAUUUUUUUUCUAAAUUCAUUAACAGAGUACUGCCAUGGCAAUUCCCCUUCCCCUGCUUCUGCCUCAGAGCUAUUUCUAGGUCAGCACUCCAUUAACAGAUUCAGGGACAAUGUAACAACACUAAAGAACAGGGUAACAUUUUGAUGAAAAUCAAACCUCUGUUCCUUAAGUAAUAAAAGCGACGUAAAAUUAAUCAUAGCAACCUAAAUUUACCAUUUGUUUUCAAUUAACCACACA
This 835-nucleotide unclassified non-coding RNA is filed under the name Hevea brasiliensis (rubber tree). Lineage: Eukaryota; Viridiplantae; Streptophyta; Magnoliopsida; Malpighiales; Euphorbiaceae. The record is from RNAcentral.